UCAUUUUUUAAGUAUUGCGCGCAAACCCCAAAAUUUUAUUCCCACCUUUGGGUUUCCGCGCCGAAGACCCAGCGCCAGAUUCGGCGACAAAGAAAACUGACAGCAGUCGCCAAACAGUUGGCAAUCCUGAUAUUUGACGGCGGCCGCCCGGUAGUCAUGGGAGUGGAUUGUUGUCACGCAAAUAGAUCUUUUCGCUGAAAAUGCAUGUGUAUUGUGUUAUUGUUGACAGAUUUUCUGCAGUGUUAGUGUGAAAUUCAGCGGUUUUCUGUAUCGCGUAAGCCUUCGCUGGAAGAAAACGUCAUGUUGUUCAGCGAAGCAAGGAAAAUUUUCAGUGAAAAAAGCAAUAUUCCUAUUAGGUAAAGCACAUAAAAUAUAUUUUCAAAAAUUUUAAUAAUUUUUGCAACACUCCUUGUUUAGCACUAAAUUUUGGGUAAAUUUUGUUUGCCGUGUAUGUCAAACAGGAACAUUUAUUGUCAAAAGUGAGCCAAUGUGGUGUCUUUUGCAACCCGCCGUUUCACUUUCGUUACGUCAAGGUUGACCUCGAAUGUCAAACAAGACCUGCUCAUCAUUAUUUUAUUUUUGUGGUACCUUGUGGUAUGCACAUAAUAAAUUAUUGUGUUACUUCAUUACGUUUAGCGUGUAUGUUUACAUUGAGUAUCUGUCAUAUGUGGAGAUGUUGUUAUUGUUGUCUGGAGUGUGAAUCAUUUAUGUAAUAUUGAAGUAUCGGUAAUAAAGUGUAUACAAAUAAUGAAUACAGUUGUUGAAUAAUCAUUACAGAAAAAGAUUCUCACAUUGGCGACGAGAACGGUGAACAGUGCAUGUGAAAUUAGUUUAAUUUCGGUUCGGGAAGUGUUGUCUUUGGAAAAAGAAAGAGAUGAGUGGUGUGUGUGGUGCAUGCAGAGUGGUGAUGACCUUCAGGUGAUGACUUGUGAUUGAAUUUCAACAUUGGAAUCAAAAAGGUACAACCAUAAGUAACAGCCAAGUAAUUUACCAAAAUGCCGAGCAGAGAUGGAUGACCAAAUGGAUGACUGUACUACUAAUUCUUAUGUGAGACUGAAGCGAGACGUUCAUAAACUGAGGAGACUAUAAGCGAAAACAACGUGGAGUGACCUUGCUGCGGAUCUGGAGAAAAAACGAGAUGUGGUACCUUGUGGUAUGCACAUAAUAAAUUAUUGUGUUACUUCAUUACGUUUAGCGUGUAUGUUUACAUUGAGUAUCUGUCAUAUGUGGAGAUGUUGUUAUUGUUGUCUGGAGUGUGAAUCAUUUAUGUAAUAUUGAAGUAUCGGUAAUAAAGUGUAUACAAAUAAUGAA
Aedes albopictus (Asian tiger mosquito) is the source of this 1311-nucleotide long non-coding RNA. RefSeq lists it as uncharacterized. NCBI's taxonomy places the organism in Eukaryota, Metazoa, Arthropoda, Insecta, Diptera, Culicidae. The transcript is spliced from 2 exons. The record is from RefSeq and is a predicted model, not a curated record.